This 484-nucleotide ribosomal RNA is filed under the name uncultured bacterium. RNAcentral describes it as "partial 16S ribosomal RNA". It matches the Rfam family "Bacterial small subunit ribosomal RNA", at positions 30 to 507 of the family's 1533-position model. The record is from RNAcentral.
AUUGAACGCUGGCGGCAGGCCUAACACAUGCAAGUCGCGCGGCUGCAGGGGGCUUGCUCCUGGAUUCCGAGGCGGACGGGUGAGUGAUGCCUAGGAACCUGCCUAGUAGUGGGGGCUAACGUCCGGAACCGGGCGCUAAUACCGCAUACGUCCUGAGGGGGACAGUGGGGGAUCCUCGGACCUCACGCUAUCAGAUGAGCCUAGGUCGGAUUAGCUAGUUGGUGGGGUAACGGCCUACCAAGGCGACGAUCCGUAACUGGUCUGUGAGGAUGAUCAGUCACACUGGAACUGAGACACGGUCCAGACUCCUACGGGAGGCAGCAGUGGGGAAUAGUGGACAAGGGGCGAAAGCCUGAUCCAGCCAUGCCGCGUGUGUGAAGAAGGUCUGCGGAUUGGAAAUCACUUUAACUUGGGAGGAAGGGCAGUAAGUUAAUACCGUGCUGUUUUGACGUUACCAACAGAAUAAGCACCGGCUAACUUCGUG